This 524-nucleotide ribosomal RNA is filed under the name uncultured bacterium. RNAcentral's name for it is "partial 16S ribosomal RNA". It matches the Rfam family "Bacterial small subunit ribosomal RNA", at positions 29 to 544 of the family's 1533-position model. The record is from RNAcentral.
AUUGAACGCUGGCGGCAGGCCUAACACAUGCAAGUCGAGCGGAUGAAGGGAGCUUGCUCCUGGAUUCAGCGGCGGACGGGUGAGUAAUGCCUAGGAAUCUGCCUGGUAGUGGGGGAUAACGUCCGGAAACGGGCGCUAAUACCGCAUACGUCCUGAGGGAGAAAGUGGGGGAUCUUCGGACCUCACGCUAUCAGAUGAGCCUAGGUCGGAUUAGCUAGUUGGUGGGGUAAAGGCCUACCAAGGCGACGAUCCGUAACUGGUCUGAGAGGAUGAUCAGUCAAAGUGGGAGUGAGACACGGUCGAGCGUCCGACGGUAGGAAGCGGUGGGAAAUAUAGGACGUAGGAGUGCAGCUUGAGCCAGGAGUGGGGCGUGUGGGAAGAAGUUCUGAGGUUUGUAAAGCGUUUUAAGUGGGGAGGAAGGGAAGUAAGUGACUACCGUGCUAUUUUGCCGUUAACAACAGAAUGGGCACCGGCUAACUCCGUGCAAGCGGCCGCGGUAAUAGAUCGGAGAACACACGUCAAAC